AUUGAACGCUGGCGGCAGGCCUAACACAUGCAAGUCGAGCGGAUGAAGGGAGCUUGCUCCUGGAUUCAGCGGCGGAAGGGUGAGUAAUGCCUAGGAAUCUGCCUGGUAGUGGGGGAUAACGUCCGGAAACGGGCGCUAAUACCGCAUACGUCCUGAGGGAGAAAGUGGGGGAUCUUCGGACCUCACGCUAUCAGAUGAGCCUAGGUCGGAUUAGCUAGUUGGUGGGGUAAAGGCCUACCAAGGCGACGAUCCGUAACUGGUCUGAGAGGAUGAUCAGUCACACUGGAACUGAGACACGGUCCAGACUCCUACGGGAGGCAGCAGUGGGGAAUAUUGGACAAUGGGCGAAAGCCUGAUCCAGCCAUGCCGCGUGUGUGAAGAAGGUCUUCGGAUUGUAAAGCACUUUAAGUUGGGAGGAAGGGCAGUAAGUUAAUACCUUGCUGUUUUGACGUUACCAACAGAAUAAGCACCGGCUAACUUCGUG
Molecule: ribosomal RNA, 484 nt
Filed under: uncultured bacterium
Lineage: Bacteria
Description: partial 16S ribosomal RNA
Rfam family: Bacterial small subunit ribosomal RNA
Source: RNAcentral